Molecule: long non-coding RNA, 602 nt
Organism: Paramacrobiotus metropolitanus
Lineage: Eukaryota; Metazoa; Tardigrada; Eutardigrada; Parachela; Macrobiotidae
Exons: 3
Source: RefSeq, a predicted model, not a curated record
AUAGCCUUCACAUACUGAAAAGCCAGCCAACAAAUUGACGGUCAAAUUAAUAAUAAGGAUAAAUUUAUCGGUUAGCUGUUAUUUAGUACUACUAGUUCUACUCCUAACGAUACAUAAAUGCGAGGUUAUUAUCAAAGAAUUUUUAAACUUUAGAAUCCUGGACAUUACUAAUAAUGGGCAGGUUCCACAGCUAAUUCAUCCAACCAACUCACUCAUUUGUGCCUGCUACAAUAUGAGAAAGUUUCAUAGAUUAUGCAGUGAGCUUCGUGACACUAGUCAAAUUCGGCCAAGCAUAUAAAUCUGAAAUUUCCGGGAUACAUCUUCCGUUUAUUAAAUGACCCAUCGUCAAUGGGAGAUCUUCCCAGGAGUAAAUUAAUCUAGCAACAUAAGUUCAUCGCGGAACAACCAGAAUAUCACUGCAAUCUUACAGUUUCAAUUGCGGCACCUUUUGGAUUUGUAUUCUGUGUACACAACUGGAGAAUUGUGUGAAUCCAAGAAAAGGAAAACGCACUUGAUCAUCGUACUUCUUACUGAAAAAGAAAUCAAGGGCUUUCGUCAAAGUAAAGUAGGCAAAACUUUCUGCAGUUGUAAAGAUACAGCCA